AUGAAGAAGAGGUGGUUAUCGGAAGAUGAUGAUGGGUUUAGACAACAGUGGAUAGGGAUAGCAACAGGGCUGUUUUUUGCAGCAAAGUUUGGACAGUGUUGGGCUGUUUGUGGACAGCAACAAGGUGGGCAGGUUAUGGGAGGUUGUGUGAGUUUGUGGACAAGGGUUUGGCAUGAAUAUGGAUUCAAAAUACUUGGUUUUGUAGAAUUAGCCAAGUUAUCUCAAGGAAGACAAAUAUACCUUGUAGUUUUAGUCUUGUAG
Molecule: non-coding RNA, 261 nt
Organism: Vicia faba (fava bean)
Lineage: Eukaryota; Viridiplantae; Streptophyta; Magnoliopsida; Fabales; Fabaceae
Source: the annotation of a GenBank genome assembly